CGGUUUCGACAGCGCUGCACU
Molecule: microRNA, 21 nt
Filed under: Eugenia uniflora (Surinam cherry)
Lineage: Eukaryota; Viridiplantae; Streptophyta; Magnoliopsida; Myrtales; Myrtaceae
Description: eun-miR397a-3p
Gene: eun-miR397a-3p
Source: miRBase by way of RNAcentral